Molecule: long non-coding RNA, 457 nt
Organism: Paramormyrops kingsleyae
Lineage: Eukaryota; Metazoa; Chordata; Actinopteri; Osteoglossiformes; Mormyridae
Source: RefSeq, a predicted model, not a curated record
GUUUCUGAUAUUAAACAUUCUUUUUAUGGACUACUAACAUUUACAGACAUUCAAUACUGUUUUCAUGUACUUAUUUAUGACAGACACUGUGGAGACGCCCCAAAGCAGUGGAGCGGAAGCAAAAUGUAUGGCAAAAAAUACUAGACUGGACAAAUGGGAGGAAGAAGAGGAGGACAAGGCAUGUGCCUUAUCAGAGCGAGCCGAGACUCCCCAUCUUCCUCAGGCAAAGGGCAUAUUGAGAAUGCAGUUAAGACCAUGGGUCUAUUUGGUUUCCAUCAUUGCGAGAUUUGAAAAGGUGAAGGUGGAGGUGCUUGACAUGUUCGGUCCGUCUGGGCAUGAGCCAAUGCAUAUUGAAACUGUUAAAGAAAUAUUAUUGCACUGUCCCAGGCUAGAUGUGAUUUGUACAGAGCUUGACAAUACCGUAGAUAAUCUGAUGAUAACGAUCAGACAGAUAAAA